This 468-nucleotide ribosomal RNA is filed under the name uncultured bacterium. RNAcentral's name for it is "partial 16S ribosomal RNA". It matches the Rfam family "Bacterial small subunit ribosomal RNA", at positions 28 to 507 of the family's 1533-position model. The record is from RNAcentral.
GACGAACGCUGGCGGCGUGCUUAACACAUGCAAGUCGAACGGAAAGGCCCUGCUUUUGUGGGGUGCUCGAGUGGCGAACGGGUGAGUAACACGUGAGUAACCUGCCCUUGACUUUGGGAUAACUUCAGGAAACUGGGGCUAAUACCGGAUAGGAGCUCCUGCUGCAUGGUGGGGGUUGGAAAGUUUCGGCGGUUGGGGAUGGACUCGCGGCUUAUCAGCUUGUUGGUGGGGUGGUGGCUUACCAAGGCUUUGACGGGUAGACGGCCUGGGAGGGUGACCGGCCACAUUGGGACUGAGAUACGGCCCAGACUCCUACGGGAGGCAGCAGUGGGGAAUAUUGCACAAUGGGCGGAAGCCUGAUGCAGCAACGCCGCGUGCGGGAUGACGGCCUGCGGGUUGUAAACCGCUUUCGCCUGUGACGAAGCGUGAGUGACGGUAAUGGGUAAAGAAGCACCGGCUAACUACGUG